UGAAGAAUCUCGUGAACCAUCGAGUCUUUGAACGCAUGUUGCACCCAAAGUAAUUAGGUUAAGGGCACGUUUGUCUAGGCGUCACGC
Molecule: ribosomal RNA, 87 nt
Filed under: Lycopus virginicus
Lineage: Eukaryota; Viridiplantae; Streptophyta; Magnoliopsida; Lamiales; Lamiaceae
Description: partial 5.8S ribosomal RNA
Source: RNAcentral